UCGCCAUCUUUGCUUUACAGCAUGUUUUAGAUUUUAUUAAAAGUGCCUGGCGCUGGUGUAUUGCAGAGCGCUGUCUCGUGGAUGGAUUCAUCUCCACGCAUUUUUUAUAGCAUUUACUAGUGACUCGAGGAUGGUGCGGAGAAACAAGAAAGACACUUAGAGACCGGAAAGUCAGGAAAACAAAAGCAGCACACAGGGUCUGGGAGAGCCUGGGAAACAGACUCAGAAGAUCUGGAUGUAUAUAUAGCUCUCAUCUACUUCUCCAGCAACAUGCCUAUCUGCCUCUCAAGACAUUUCCUUCCAUGAUGAUAAUGUCUAACCUUCUAAAGCCGUAAACAAGCCUCCAAUUAAAUGCUUUCUUCUAUAA
Long non-coding RNA from Mesocricetus auratus (golden hamster), 367 nucleotides. RefSeq lists it as uncharacterized. The transcript has 2 exons. NCBI's taxonomy places the organism in Eukaryota, Metazoa, Chordata, Mammalia, Rodentia, Cricetidae. The record is from RefSeq and is a predicted model, not a curated record.